UAGAGUAUGGCACUAAGAUCUUGAACUACUC
RNAcentral lists this non-coding RNA (31 nucleotides) under Mus musculus (house mouse). Lineage: Eukaryota; Metazoa; Chordata; Mammalia; Rodentia; Muridae. The record is from RNAcentral.